RNAcentral lists this ribosomal RNA (497 nucleotides) under uncultured bacterium. RNAcentral's name for it is "partial 16S ribosomal RNA". It matches the Rfam family "Bacterial small subunit ribosomal RNA", at positions 28 to 507 of the family's 1533-position model. The record is from RNAcentral.
GAUGAACGCUGGCGGCGUGCCUAAUACAUGCAAGUCGAGCGAACGGACGAGAAGCUUGCUUCUCUGAUGUUAGCGGCGGACGGGUGAGUAACACGUGGAUAACCUACCUAUAAGACUGGGAUAACUUCGGGAAACCGGAGCUAAUACCGGAUGAUAUUUUGAACCGCAUGGUUCAAAAGUGAAAGACGGUUUUGCUGUCACUUAUAGAUGGAUCCGCGCUGCAUUAGCUAGUUGGUAAGGUAACGGCUUACCAAGGCAACGAUGCAUAGCCGACCUGAGAGGGUGAUCGGGCACACUGGAACUGAGACACGGUCCAGACUCCUACGGGAGGCAGCAGUAGGGAAUCUUCCGCAAUGGGCGAAAGCCUGACGGAGCAACGCCGCGUGAGUGAUGAAGGUCUUCGGAUCGUAAAACUCUGUUAUUAGGGAAGAACAUAUGUGUAAGUAACUGUGCACAUCUUGACGGUACCUAAUCAGAAAGCCACGGCUAACUACGUG